UGGGGAAUAUUGGACAAUGGGGGGAACCCUGAUCCAGCCAUGCCGCGUGUGUGAAGAAGGCCUUAUGGUUGUAAAGCACUUUAAGCGAGGAGGAGGGUACUGGUAUUAAUACUACCAGGUACUGGACGUUACUCGCAGAAUAAGCACCGGCUAACUCUGUGCCAGCAGCCGCGGUAAUACAGAGGGUGCAAGCGUUAAUCGGAAUUACUGGGCGUAAAGCGCGCGUAGGUGGUUCGUUAAGUUGAAUGUGAAAGCCCCGGGCUCAACCUGGGAACUGCAUCCAAAACUGGCGAGAUAGAGUAGGGCAGAGGGUGGUGGAAUUUCCUGUGUAGCGGUGAAAUGCGUAGAUAUAGGAAGGAACACCAGUGGCGAAGGCGACCACCUGGGCUCAUACUGACACUGAGGUGCGAAAGCGUGGGGAGCAAACAGG
RNAcentral lists this ribosomal RNA (430 nucleotides) under Pseudomonadota bacterium. RNAcentral's name for it is "Proteobacteria bacterium partial 16S ribosomal RNA". It matches the Rfam family "Bacterial small subunit ribosomal RNA", at positions 355 to 776 of the family's 1533-position model. The record is from RNAcentral. Lineage: Bacteria; Pseudomonadati; Pseudomonadota.